GGCGGCUCGUUGUGGAACGGCCGUCGCUCAACGGAUAAAAGGUACCUCGGGGAUAACAGGCUGAUCUUGCCCAAGAGUCCAUAUCGACGGCAUGGUUUGGCACCUCGAUGUCGGCUCGUCGCAUCCUGGGGCUGGAGUAGGUCCCAAGGGUUGGGCUGUUCGCCCAUUAAAGCGGUACGCGAGCUGGGUUCAGAACGUCGUGAGACAGUUCGGUCCCUAUCCUCUGCGCGCGUUGG
RNAcentral lists this ribosomal RNA (236 nucleotides) under Xanthomonas citri pv. citri. Its description in RNAcentral is "partial 23S ribosomal RNA". It matches the Rfam family "Bacterial large subunit ribosomal RNA", at positions 2422 to 2657 of the family's 2925-position model. Lineage: Bacteria; Pseudomonadati; Pseudomonadota; Gammaproteobacteria; Lysobacterales; Lysobacteraceae. The record is from RNAcentral.